UUUGUGGGGCCUGUGGGUCGCGGCCAGGGCUCUCUCCCAGCCUGCUCUGCUCCGGCUAAUGGGGCUUGUUUUUUCUUGAAGCCUUUGGAGCUACAAUCGUCAGUGUUAAAAUGAGAUGUUUUGGGGAUAGGUUGCAGCAUGGCAAUGCAUGAAGUGUAAGAACCAGCAAAACCACUGCCAUGGUCCUGUAGCAAUCCAAAGCAGACCUUUGUCAUCAUUUUUUCGCUCAUACAGGUCAGGUGUAAUUACUGUCAUGUUUUCAUCUUCAGUGAUCUCAUUCUGCCUUAGCUGAAAACGGUGAAGAAACUCCCAGGGGCUUUUUGUGCCUCCGUGGGGCUGUGGUAACCGGGUGUUUCUCCAGGCAGGUGCCAGGCCCUGGCGUGCAGCUGAGGGUGUCAGAGCGUUGCUGGAGGCUGUGACCCAGCUGUUAGAUGGCUGCAAAGUCAUCUCUAAAAAGCCAGGUUCCACCUGUUGGAGUCUGGCUUCUUUCCAGAGCAUUUUUACUUGAUAUUCAUAAGGUAACAUGGAAGUUCCUCGCUUGUUCUGUCUGACAUCCAAUCUGAAAGGUUGUAAUGUGUAUAUAGAUCAGCCUCGUCAAUAGUUCAGUUAUAUACGGACAGUUCAAUUUGAGCUUGCCAUUACCUGAGAGCUCUAGUGGAUAUAACGAUAAUCAUAGUUUGGGUGAAAGCAAUGGAGCAGAGAUGUCUUGGGUAGUUUCCUUUUUACUUCUGUUGCAAAUUAUAUAGCAUUUUGUACAGAUAUAGGCUCUUAUCACGUCUAAAGAAGUGUGGGCUUUUUUGAUUGGAAAAUAGAAAUAUUUUCAUGCUUUGGAACAGAACGUAAUCUGAUUAACUGUAAUGCUAUAAUAAAUUGCAUGAAGACCCUCAUUUAAUACUAUGUAGAUUGCCGUUAUGCUGAAACCUGAGGAACUUUAUAUGCUUGAUCAAUUAAUGAAUGUAGUGUUAUAAAAGCAAAACUAAAACUAGUUUGAAUAAGAGGCGGGGAAAAAGCAGAAGCUAACUGUGGCCAAGCAGUUUUCCUCAUUUCAAUACUUCCAGCGAAGUUUGUCAAAACAGAAAGUGCUUUAAAAUGCACUUCAUUUAAUUUCAUAUUCUUUGGGUAUUUAAUGGAGUGUAAGUGGUCAGAGAGAGUCCAUUUUGGUUUGUGAUCUUACCAUAUAAUGUUGCAGCAAGCCAUUUGUUAACUACUGAUGCGUUUCAAUUAUUUAGAACAUCACUUUAGUCCAGAUCUUUCUGAAACAAGUAGUCUUGUUUGGACUGUGAAAUUUUUGCAAGGCCUAGUGAGAUUUGUCUUUGUUCAGUCAGUUCAAGUUGAGUAAGGAUGGAGCAAAGAUGUAAAAACUUGAUCCACAGGACAUAAAUGAAGGAUCUUCUCAACUAAUACACAAAUGUGGCUUUAGAAAUCUGAGAUGUUUCCUGGUACUGAGGCUUCCUUGCUGACUGAUUGUUUUCUGUAAUUCUGCUUUUAAAACUCGGCAGUGCAAAACGUGUGGUAAUGCUCUUACACUUGGAGAUUGUCUUUCAUCAGAAUAGAUUCUAAUGCAGCUCAGAAGGCUUAAUUAACAUAUUUUACAGGCACUGGACUUGAGAUGGGGAUGAAAAUUGGUUCUUACUGAACAGCCUUUAGCAGUGCUCUGUGUCAGCUUCUAGGUAAAUGGUAAGGCAUGCUGGAUUUCAUUGAGAUGACAGGCUAACUAUUGGAAAAUAGAAGGCCGAUCACAAAAAGUGGGAUGUGAAGACGGAUGGGGCAUUGGGACGUGGGCGUUACUGUCAGUGAUCCAUUUUUCUGAAAUGUGCCGUUAGAUAUUUUGUUUUAAACCAAUUUAAGACUGUGUUCUUUCUAAGUUUCAUCUCGAGUAGCUGGAUCAACAGCCCAAUACCUCGCUAACCUAUGGUAAAGCUUUGCUUUGGUACAGGAAAAAUUUGCAGGGGUAAGAGAUGAACUACCAGGGCCUCCUGCAGCUGGAUUUCAUCUUGAAAUUUCCCAUCCAGAAAACCUGCUUUGCCUGGGGCUGCUUAAUUCUCAUCAUAUGACAUGAUUAUGAGUAUGCUUCUGUGCAUGUUGCACAUGACAAGCUGCUGUGCCUGUGUAGAGCUGUAACUGGGUCAGGAAGACUGUCUGCAGAACAGUGAUGUUUGGGGACAGCUGGUGUCCUUAGACCUAAGCCAUCCUGUGUGUGUUUGAUCCAUGCAAGUCUGCAGGCUGAGCCAGCUAGGAUGGCAGUGAAGCUGAAUUUGGGGAGCAGAGUCUUAUUCCUAAUGAACUGAGGACAGCAGGACUUGUCAAGGCCCAGAUACGUCAGUGAUCUGAGAGGGGUGCUCAGACGAGGGAAGAAAGCAUAACGAGAUACAGUGCGCAGUCUGGUAAGUCUCCAUGUGACUCUUUGCUUUGACCCCAACCUAGUUAUUUCUGUAAAGGAACAAGCUUUAUAUGAUCAGGACCAGAGAGACAGAUCUCUUCUAUGCAUAAUUUUUGAAAAAGAAACAAAAAAAAUUAAAACCAGACAACAUAAUUUGCCUUGUGCUGGCACAAUUCUUCUAAGCAGUAUAAAGAAAACAAUCUUUUGUGACCCCAGGAAUAGUUUGUCCUCGUUAAUGAAAUGGCAGAGUGUGGACUGUAGCAGAGGCUGAGCAGUUCUGUUAAGCAUCAUGCUCCCUAGAAAGCAUGAUAUUGUGACAAGUGAGCUCUGCAAAACCCAUACUGUACCCACUCAUCUC
This is a long non-coding RNA of Falco peregrinus (peregrine falcon), 2738 nucleotides long. RefSeq lists it as uncharacterized. The record is from RefSeq and is a predicted model, not a curated record. The transcript has 4 exons. Lineage: Eukaryota; Metazoa; Chordata; Aves; Falconiformes; Falconidae.